RNAcentral lists this long non-coding RNA (691 nucleotides) under Capsicum annuum. Its description in RNAcentral is "long non-coding RNA (CANN_LNC022349)". Lineage: Eukaryota; Viridiplantae; Streptophyta; Magnoliopsida; Solanales; Solanaceae. The record is from RNAcentral.
CCGCUCCGCGUCGGCCAGCUCCGGCCGCAGCUCGUCCACCGGUGACAACACCGUUCGUCGGCCGAGAAUCUGACCAGCUUCACUGCUUCAAUCUCCUUCUCCGUCGGCGGCAGUCACCGGAAACAGUGCCGCCGAUGACCGGCAACGACACCCCGUCCGUUUUCCACUAAUUCCGACGAAAUUUCGCGUAUGGGUCUUCUCGAUUUUUCAUAAUUUCAGUCUCGGUUCGUUUGAUAUUUCUUAUUCCUUAAGGUUUUGAAUCCAUCCGAGUUGUUUUGGUUCGUGCAAAGUUAGUUGGAAAUCGUUGGUUUGGGGUUUCGAAUCUGGGAUCUUGGGUUGUUUUUGAAGUUUAUUCGGAUUUGUGGGUUAUUCAUCGUGAGGUUUUAUCGUGGUUUUCCGAUCUGUCCGGUUGAACUCAAUAUCGAGUUUGGAGUUGUUCGUUGUGGGUUCUUCGAUCGAGUAUUUUGGUCUUCGGAUUUCUCUAUUAUCGACAAGGAUUAAUUUCACCGAGGUCCAUUUCUUCUAACCGAAUCUUUAAUUUAUUUUGACUUUUUAUUGAUGUUGUGGGUGUGGAUGAUUUAUUUGUUGUGUGUUUGGUUUGAAUUUUCGUUUUUUGUGUUGUGUUUGAUGUUGGUUUCGGAUUAUGAGAUGUGAUUGAAAAAUCGAAGCAUGCACUAAUCAUGUGGUUUAA